GGGGCGCAGCCACAACCGGCAGCACGGCACCGCUGUCCGCCAGGACAUCAGCUCAAGACUUCAAGCAUCAGCAUCUGCAGCAUUCCUGCUGUCCUCACCUGACUGCAGUGGAAAGGUGAUACCAGGUUUCUCUCAGGGAGCACUUCAUUCCAUGGCCUUCGCUUCUCCAAGCGGGUGCAGUGACACUGUUUCCUUUCUAUCUUAGCUGGUGGAGGUGCUUUUGUGCACAAAGGCCACAAGGUCACUCACUAGUUAUGCAACUGCUCCCUUUGCCCUUUUAAAAUAUAACUUGCCUUCUUAAAAUACAA
Molecule: non-coding RNA, 308 nt
Organism: Lonchura striata (white-rumped munia)
Lineage: Eukaryota; Metazoa; Chordata; Aves; Passeriformes; Estrildidae
Source: RefSeq, a predicted model, not a curated record